GGAUCCGAAGGUGAUUUGGCUGCACUAUCUGCCACCUCUUUGUUCACCAGAGUUGAAACUGCUGAUCUGGUUGCCUAGACUGGUGUUUCCUUCCUCCCUCCUCGCACCCCUCCAGAACCUGAGCACUCGGUCAAGAGGAUGACCUUCCCUUAUAGAAAAGAACCAGUCUUCUGUAAAGAAUAGAAGAGUAGCUGCACUUACCUGCUAGAAAUUCCAGACAAUUUCUCAAGAUCCUUUUU
This 239-nucleotide long non-coding RNA is filed under the name Homo sapiens (human). RNAcentral's name for it is "non-protein coding lnc-TENM2-4:1". It matches the Rfam family "7SK RNA", at positions 1 to 249 of the family's 331-position model. Rfam says of the family: 7SK was discovered as an abundant small nuclear RNA in the mid-70s but a possible function has only recently been suggested. Two independent studies have found that 7SK RNA binds the CDK9/cyclin T complex (known as elongation factor P-TEFb). The record is from RNAcentral. Lineage: Eukaryota; Metazoa; Chordata; Mammalia; Primates; Hominidae.